This 253-nucleotide ribosomal RNA is filed under the name uncultured bacterium. Its description in RNAcentral is "partial 16S ribosomal RNA". It matches the Rfam family "Bacterial small subunit ribosomal RNA", at positions 524 to 776 of the family's 1533-position model. The record is from RNAcentral.
UACAGAGGUCUCAAGCGUUGUUCGGAUUCAUUGGGCGUAAAGGGUGCGUAGGCGGCGCGGUAAGUCGGGUGUGAAAUCUCGGAGCUUAACUCCGAAACUGCAUUCGAUACUGCCGUGCUUGAGGACUGGAGAGGAGACUGGAAUUUACGGUGUAGCGGUGAAAUGCGUAGAUAUCGUAAGGAAGACCAGUGGCGAAGGCGGGUAUCUGGACAGUUCCUGACGCUGAGGCACGAAGGUCAGGGGAGCAAACGGG